GACGAACGCUGGCGGCGUGCUUAACACAUGCAAGUCGAACGGAAAGGCCCUGCUUGCAGGGUACUCGAGUGGCGAACGGGUGAGUAACACGUGGGUGAUCUGCCCUGCACUUCGGGAUAAGCCUGGGAAACUGGGUCUAAUACCGGAUAGGAGCCAUUUUUAGUGUGAUGGUUGGAAAGUUUUUUCGGUGUAGGAUGAGUUCGCGGCCUAUCAGCUUGUUGGUGGGGUAAUGGCCUACCAAGGCGGCGACGGGUAGCCGGCCUGCGAGGGUGGACGGCCACAUUGGGACUGAGAUACGGCCCAGACUCCUACGGGAGGCAGCAGUGGGGAAUAUUGCACAAUGGGCGCAAGCCUGAUGCAGCGACGCCGCGUGGGGGAUGACGGCCUUCGGGUUGUAAACUCCUUUCGCUAGGGACGAAGCUUUUUGUGACGGUACCUAGAUAAGAAGCACCGGCUAACUACGUG
Molecule: ribosomal RNA, 465 nt
Filed under: uncultured bacterium
Lineage: Bacteria
Description: partial 16S ribosomal RNA
Rfam family: Bacterial small subunit ribosomal RNA
Source: RNAcentral